GGCUUAGGAUGAACGCUGGCGGCGUGCCUAACACAUGCAAGUCGAGCGGAAAUACCGGAAAGUAUUCGUACCGGAAGGUAUUUUAGCGGCGGACGGGUGAGUAACACGUGAGCAACCUGCCUUCAGCUGGGGAAUAACAUUGGGAAACCAGUGCUAAUACCGCAUAACGUCCAUGGGGGACAUCCCUUGUGGACCAAAGGAGAAAUCCGGCAGAAGAUGGGCUCGCGUCCGAUUAGUUAGUUGGCGGGUAACGGCCCACCAAGACCGCGAUCGGUAGCCGAACUGAGAGGUUGAUCGGCCACAUUGGGACUGAGACACGGCCCAGACUCCUACGGGAGGCAGCAGUGGGGAAUAUUGGGCAAUGGGGGGAAAAACCCCCUGACCCAGCAACGCCGCGUGAAGGACGAAGGCCUUCGGGUUGUAAACUUCUUUGAUCAGGGACGAAACAAAUGACGGUACCUGAAGAACAAGCCACGGCUAACUACGUGCCAGCCGCCGC
Molecule: ribosomal RNA, 499 nt
Filed under: uncultured bacterium
Lineage: Bacteria
Description: bacterial SSU rRNA
Rfam family: Bacterial small subunit ribosomal RNA
Source: RNAcentral